UACGGAGGGGGCAAGCGUUGUUCGGAAUUACUGGGCGUAAAGCGCACGUAGGCGGACAUUUAAGUCAGGGGUGAAAUCCCGGGGCUCAACCCCGGAACUGCCUUCGAAACGGCAUGUCUUGAAUGUGGGAGAGGAUGAUGGAAUUCCUGGUGUAGCGGUGAAAUGCGUAGAUAUCAGGAGGAACACCCGUGGCGAAGGCGACUGCCUGGACCAGUACUGACACUGAGGCACGAAAGCGUGGGGAGCAAACAGG
This 253-nucleotide ribosomal RNA is filed under the name uncultured bacterium. Its description in RNAcentral is "partial 16S ribosomal RNA". It matches the Rfam family "Bacterial small subunit ribosomal RNA", at positions 524 to 776 of the family's 1533-position model. The record is from RNAcentral.